RNAcentral lists this ribosomal RNA (468 nucleotides) under uncultured bacterium. RNAcentral describes it as "partial 16S ribosomal RNA". It matches the Rfam family "Bacterial small subunit ribosomal RNA", at positions 28 to 507 of the family's 1533-position model. The record is from RNAcentral.
GACGAACGCUGGCGGCGUGCUUAACACAUGCAAGUCGAACGGAAAGGCCCUGCUUUUGUGUGGUUCUCGAUUGGCGAACGGGUGAGUAACACGUGAGUAACCUGCCCUUGACUUUGGGAUAACUUCAGGAAACUGGGGCUAAUACCGGAUAGGAGCUCCUGCUGCAUGGUGGGGGUUGGAAAGUUUCGGCGGUGGGGGAUGGACUCGCGGCUUAUCAGCUUGUUGGUGGGGUAGUGGCUUACCAAGGCUUUGACGGGUAGCCGGCCUGAGCGGGUGACCGGCCACAUUGGGACUGAGAUACGGCCCAGACUCCUACGGGAGGCAGCAGUGGGGAAUAUUGCACAAUGGGCGGAAGCCUGAUGCAGCAACGCCGCGUGCGGGAUGACGGCCUUCGGGUUGUAAACCGCUUUCGCCUGUGGCGAAGCGUGAGUGACGGUAAUGGGUAAAGAAGCACCGGCUAACUACGUG